UUUUAGAACUAAAGAAAUUGUCAUGACAUGAUUAUGAUUCUAACAAAACACUGGAAAAUACUUCAGAAAAGCGAUUCUUUUUAACAUCUGGAUUAAAAUGGCAGUGGUUAGAUGCUUGAUCAGAGUGUGGGAGGUUUUUGUACGGCCACUUAAUGAGUUUGUAUCACUGUGGAGGACUUUUGGUGGAGGAACCAAACUCAUCAUUCACUCUGGCCCCAUGGUCAGACCCUCAGUCUCUCUGCUUCAACCCUCCUCUGAGAAGCUCUCUGGAGGCCCAGUCACACUGGCCUGCCUGCUGACCGGCUACUCUCCUCAGGGAGCUGAAGUGAGAUGGGAGGUAGAUGGCACAGAGGUGACAGAGGGGGUCCUGAACAGCUUAGAAGAAGAGAAGAGAAGUCGCUACAGCAGCAGCAGCAGCACCCUGAUGCUGAGCCAAGAGAACUGGAUGAACGCAGAGGUGUUCUCCUGCAGGGUGAACCAUCAUGACCACUGGCAGGCCAAGUCCUUCCACAAGAGCCGGUGUGAGGGCUAGAGGGGCUGCUGAAGUCCAGGACAGGAGCUUAGUGUGAGGAAGCAGGAGAUACAUCCCUGCUGCUCUGAUCAAUAUGAGUUUGGAAGUUUGUAGAUGUAAUUAUUUGAUAACAACAAGAUAGAGAAUGAAAUGUGUUGCAGCUGGAUGUGAAUGUACCCAAUACCUGCCAUAUUAACAAUAUGUAUUUUUGCCAAUAAAGCUUGCAGUGAUCCAUAUUAUCAAGUAUUUUUGUCUUAUUUUUAAAUAUAGUGGCUCUAUACUUGGAGUUCAGUGUACUAUAAAUUAACCUUUUUGCUUAUCACAUGAAAAAUCAAGAGUGGGAGGAGAUGAAGAUGGCAGGGCUGCAUCUGGCCUGAACAUCUGGGACAAAUCAAAAAUCCUACUACUCUGAUCUUUAUGUGUUCGUAGAUAAAAAUAAAGCUUUGUUUGUGAGAGAACAACACUGUUCUGAAACAAGUGUAAGGAGCUUGGAAAGAAAA
This is a non-coding RNA of Oreochromis niloticus (Nile tilapia), 1011 nucleotides long. The record is from the annotation of a RefSeq genome assembly. NCBI's taxonomy places the organism in Eukaryota, Metazoa, Chordata, Actinopteri, Cichliformes, Cichlidae.